CUACACUAACGAAUAUGUCUAGUUUGUCAUAUUGAUAUCUACAAUUUACCUUGUUAACAACUUUUUCGAUAUAAACAUAUGAUAUCCGUUAUUAAUGUCCCAUGUACUAUUAUUGUUUAAAAAUCUUUAUCUAAGCCGUAUAAAUAUUUUCGUGACACUAAGUGAGUUGUCCAGUUUCGCGCAUUACUUUGAAGUAAAUAUUACAAACAAAAUUUAUUUAAUGAUAAUUAAUAAGAUUUAUAGUGAUGAAUAACUGAAAAGUAAGAACUUUUAGUGGACCAUUCACAGAAGACAAAUAUAACCAGUUUUUCAAUCCAAACGUUUGUCACGUUUGCAAACGUUCUAGCAGAAACUUGAUAACGUGUAAUCUCUGCAAAAUGAUUUCUUACUGUUCCGAGGAACAUAAGGAAAUAUAUAGAAACUCAUACUCAGGGAUAUACGUAGCUAUGGAAAGGAUAAUAACAGACAAAUCGUUGUCGGUUGCGUAUUCUAGCUUGGAACAUUGGAUAGCAUCACGGGACGACAUUUCACAACGAAUACUGCCUAGUACGUCACGUUACGUAUACCAGUAUGAAAAGGAGAUGGUAUUAUGUGCAAAAUCGUAUUGUGUGUGUUACCGACAGAUAAACAUAAGUCCUUGCAACACUUGCUAUUCAGCCAAUUUUUGUGAUGAGCACCAAACAGAAUUUAGAGUAUUACAUGAGGAGGACUGCGGUGAGCUGUUGCUAUUUCUGAACAUGAAUAUAACUGAUGUUAUCCGCGACAUGGAAGAAUUUCUGAUUCAUAAAGGAAGGAAGUUCGCCAGAUUUCCUACAGAGAGAUAUUUUCCUGACAAUAUUACAUUUAUUAAUGGCUAUGUACUUCAAACAUGAACUAGUUCGAUGGGAACAUGGCUUGGAUCUAUAACAGCAAUAAUAGCCCAAAAGUGUCCAUUACUUUUAACCGCUGACACAGAAAAGGUAGUGAAAGAAAAUAUAAAUAAGAUAAAAGAUGUAACAGAUGUAACUAGGAAACGCUUGUAAAAAGUAAAUUCUGCGGAUGUAGUCCAUAUAGAAAUUAUGUAGCUGGAAGAUGUUAUUACCGAAAUGCGCAUUUUAUUAUGUAUUCAUGAAUUUAAAUCACAUGACUGAUCCAGGUAAAGGUUAAAGAAGCAUGAGAAGAUACAUGAAGACUCACAUCUGGAACUCUGCAGAGACCUAACAAGGAUCAUAACAGACAAAUCCGAUUAGAACACAUAUCGUAAUUGGGAAGAAUUGAGAGAAGCACGGAAGGAAAUUUUAAUGAAUAUAAAUCUAUCAGGCAUACAUCACUAAUUGUUGUGAUGAUCAGCAAAUGCUAAGUACUCUAGAACAUAAGGAUCACUGCAACGUUACUAUUACUGAACAUUAAUAUCGUCUGUACGAGUAGCAAUUGUGUCUAAACAAACGUUCACCACAUUUCCUGAUGCUAGAUCUUAUCAUGACAUGAUUAUAUAUAUUAACAGAUAUUUAGUCAUGGAAGAUCUAGAUAACAAUAAAAAAAAGUUUACUUCCCUAUCUGUACUGUCUGGUCAUUAGAACAUUACAUAUGUUCGGAUUACGCUUAGAAAAAAAUUUACUAAAUUUCAAAAAACAUUUGUUUAAAUAGUACUGUGAAGAUAUUUGUUUAAAUUAAAUAAUUAUUUUCUAAAAUUAAAGAAACAAACUUAUAUUUAAAACUUCUUUAUUUAAUUUUAGAAAAUAAUUACUUAAUUUAAACAAAUAUCUUCACACACAUAUCUAUUCAAACACUCAUUUUUUUAAAUUUAGUAAAUUUUUUUCUCAGCAUAUGUAACCGGUCCUCUGACAUUACACUACGCGUUACAGGAAUUAAAUUUAUUAUUUCUUUCACAUGCUGCUUAUAAAUUUAUCGUUCAUAUUAUAGAUACAAAUCUAAUAGAUGUAAUAUGUUUACAAAUUUGUCAUAUUUUCUUACAUCUUUUUCGUUAUAUAAAGGAACUGUAUAUUAUAAUUAUAAAAUCGCCACUAUUCGAAUCCCGCGAUUUAGAGACUGCUUCUCCUAGUUGCGGAAAAUAUAAUCAGAAAGUUUAUGUUGAAAAUGUAUCAGAGCCGCAGCACAAUUAUUGCGCACUUAAAGUCAUAUAAAUAACCAAAUGUGAUCGUAAUAUUUGACACAAAUAUGUGCUUGAUAAGAACAUGGUUUGAAUCUAUAACAACAAUAGUAGUAAAAGAAUGUCCAGUACUUUUAAUCUUUAAUGAUGAAACACAAUAGAUUGCAAUACAAGAAAGUACAAAAAGUAAUAGACAACAAGAAAUCGAUUGUGCAGAAAAAAUAAAUUCUGCGGUUGUAGGCCAUAUAGAAGCCAUGUGACUAGCGAAAAGCGUAUUUCAUUAUUUAUUCAUGAAUUUAAAUCACAUAACCGACCCAAUCAAAGGCUGAAAAUCAGAAAUUGUUUGAUCAUUUCUUUGAUUUAGUAUAGUAUGAUAUUUUAGUAUGAUGCUCCUGUAAAUUUUUAACGAUAUUAAAAGGUAAAUAAUACAUCUCUUACUGAGGUAUAUAUUCAGUCGUAAAUUAAUAGGAUUUUGUCUCUUACAUUUCUGAAAUAUGUAAAACAUAUUUACGUAAGGUAAUAGAAUGAUUGCAUAUCAUAUUUUAAAUUUUAUAUUUUGCAUACUAUUCGCAUACUAUUCAGUAUUUACUUUAGAGGUACUAUAUUCAACAAUUCUGUACUCAGUAUGUAAUUGUUUUGUAAGUCCCUUCUUCAUCGUCCGUGUUUUGCAGGUGAUAGGUGAUAGAAAUAAUUGCGAUAUAUUUUAUGCAGAUUAUAUUUUUAUAUUCUUCAUAUUGUAGCUUUUAAUUAAUAUCUGUAUCUCGUUACAUUGGCUUGUACAAGUUAAAUUAUGAAAAUUUGUCUUAAAGGUUAUCACCGAUUAUUGUACCAAUUAAAAAUGUAAUCAUAGUUGUUAACAAAAUAUGGAUUUUAGUAAUAUACAAUUAUUAUUAAAUGUAUCUUACGAUUCUCUCUCCUGUUUUUGUAAAAGUAUAGCAUAUGUAAACUUUGUUUCAGUUUUGAGCACUUUUCCGAUGCAUUCUUGAAUAUAGCUAAUGAUCUAAUAAGUGAUAGAACUUAAUGAGAAGAUGGGGCUUCAUGCAAUCAUUUAAAAAUCAGUUCUUUCGUUGUGUUGGCUAUCGAGUAAAAUAUAUUGGAGAAAAAUAGUUUAUAUUAUGUUGAAACAAAGUGUAUAUAUGAUUCUAUAAUAUUAUCCGUUAUAUCGCCCACUUUUGCUUUAGAUUUCACGAUUAGCAGUAAGUAUAGUAUAAAACAUUUCUCUAGGCAUAUUAUAAGGAUGAAUUAUGAGCCUAAUGCUUCAACUAGUUACACUGAGAAAAAGUGUAUUUCAAUAUUUAUUUGUA
Molecule: long non-coding RNA, 3393 nt
Organism: Odontomachus brunneus
Lineage: Eukaryota; Metazoa; Arthropoda; Insecta; Hymenoptera; Formicidae
Exons: 3
Source: RefSeq, a predicted model, not a curated record